CAAAAAUAUGAACUAAUUCAGAGCAAGAGAAGAUUAAUAAUGGCUGGGAAGGGUUAAUAAAAAGGAAAAAGGAAGGAGUGGGAUGGUGGGAAAAAAGAAUUAUUCUUCAACAAUAAGCUUGAAGAGAAAUGGAAAAGUUAAAGGAAAGAAAACGUGAUAGAAAAUGAGGGGUAGACCUAGAAUGGCAUGGGUUGUUGUAGAAAAGGAUUAAGCAGCUCUAAAGCUUUCUGUAGGUGAACUAAUUAAAAUGGAAGAAGAUGAUCCAUAUAGCCAAUUUGAACUAGAUUGUGAUUAUUGCUAGAGUAAACUUAUGUGAAAUUGUCAGUACUGUCAUACAAAAUUGUCUACUUUUCUCUCAGAUCUUUUUGAUAACAUUAUAUGGACAAGUGGAAGUGCAUCCUCAUGUUUUUCAUCCUUUUUUU
Molecule: unclassified non-coding RNA, 422 nt
Filed under: Hevea brasiliensis (rubber tree)
Lineage: Eukaryota; Viridiplantae; Streptophyta; Magnoliopsida; Malpighiales; Euphorbiaceae
Source: RNAcentral